This is a long non-coding RNA of Clupea harengus (Atlantic herring), 1609 nucleotides long. NCBI's taxonomy places the organism in Eukaryota, Metazoa, Chordata, Actinopteri, Clupeiformes, Clupeidae. The record is from Ensembl.
AUAACUCUUUUCAUAGGGUUAUAACUCUUUUCAUAGGGUUAUAACUCUUUUCAUAGGCUUUCUGUCUUUGUUAUCAUCUUUUGUUCUCAUCUUUUGUAAUAGACAGUCUCUCUCCAGCUCUGGAGGUACCGGGGCUGUGAGAGAAACCAGACAGAGAUAAUAGACUCACCAAAAGCUCAAUUAUUGAUUACUAUAAUUAUAUAAUUAUUAAUGGCCUUCGAAGGGACAUUCCAGUUGAGGGGUAGGCUGCCAAAGCUGACCCAACAGAUAGAACAAAAACAUCCGCACCAUAAUGGCAGCAGGUAUACAGGGAAGAUGCCAAGUCUUGGUGUCCUUUUUUUACAUUAUGGUGAGUUCAAAUGGGUGAAUAGACUCAUUUAACCUCAUCUUCAAUCGAUCUGAAUGACCAAGCAAACACAGAUAGCUGCAUACUCCCGAACAGACGUGGCCCUGAUGCGGCCCUGAUGCGGCCCUGAUGUGGCCCUGACGCGGCUUUUGCUACUGUCCCGCGACAGAGGAGCGUCUGGCUCGCUCGCUCGCUCGCUCACUCGCUAGCUCCCACUUCUGUGUAUUUCUUUUUGGUGUCAGGUAUGCCACGUGUUCUGUAUUUAGUCUUCACUAGUAUUUUCUUGAUUGUGUAGUUCUUGUGGUGCACGUCAUGGAGGCGUCAACCUCACUCCCCGACAGCUUAAGAGACCAGCGUGCUAGCGACUAGCGGUUUUAGCAUCCUUGCUAGCACGCCCGCCUCCCACGUCCAAGGUUGCGAGUUCGAGUCUGGUGUGGGACUGUGCUUGUCUGCUGGGCUGGAAUGGAUGGCUCUCAUCCGGCUCAGACCUGGCUCUCAUCGGGCUCAGAUCUGGCUAUCAUCCGGCUCAGACCUGGCUCUCAUCCGGCUCAGACCUGGCUCUCAUCCGGCUCAGACCUGGCUCUCAUCCGGCUCAGGUCUGUCUCAGAUCAGAGCUGGAGAGAGACACAGGGUUAGCAGUGGUCUGAGACAUUGCAAGCAAACUGACCUCACCAGGCAGUGGAAGAAGCCCCAUUGAGUCUUCUGGAACAAUCUGAAGAUUACAGUGCAGGUCUCACUGCAGUGCCUUAGAGACGGUGGUUUCUUUGUGUUAUUUUCCUCUUAUUGUUUUGUUUACCUUUUACCUACCGAAUCACUUGACCAUGAAGUUAAAAAUGUCUGUAAGAGAAGCUCAAAUCAGUGUAAUGGUCAUUGCUUGCAUUGAUUACAAUCACACACACACACACACACACAUUUGCUCUCUAGAUUUUCCUGUGUACUCAUAAUUAUUAUCCAAACAUUGAAAGGAAGGAUUCUGAAAUGUUCUAAAUGAAGGAUUUUUAUGUAUCUGUAAUCCCAUUUAAUAUAUUUGCUUUUUUACCGCAAUAUAUAAAUGUAACUGCUAUUGCAAAAAUAUAUCCUAUUGUAUUACAUGAUGUGUAUUUUGUAUCGUCCGAAUGUUCGUUUUGUUUUGUUUUAUGGUGCCAAAGAUUUGUCAGAAAUGUUUACCAAUGCCAAGCCAUCAAAUAUAAAGAACUAUCUCAUUUUUGACAUUUUCAUAUUGUCACACAGCAACACAAAUGAUGACAAUAAACAUGUUCUCAC